UUUAAUCUAUUGCUAUAAUUUGCUUCAACUUAUUUGCUCCGUUUUUAAUAUUUGCAUAUAACAGGUAUUCUAUACAUGUGCUGCCAAAUAUUCAAGCUUUGAAGGGAAGUAUACUUACCCAGCUUGCGCUAAGUGCACCAGGCGAGUUGUAAGAAAUGGUGGCACUAUGAAGUGCCCAAGAUGCACACCUCCUCAAUCCAUAACUCAAGCGUAAGUGCUAUUCAACCGUCAGAAUUCUUCGUUCAAAGUUGAUAAUCGAAUGAAAAAACUAAUUGCAAUACAUUUUCAUACAGAAUCGUUAUCACAAUAAGCAUACAAGAUAUUAGUGGGACUUGCA
RNAcentral lists this long non-coding RNA (337 nucleotides) under Aquilegia coerulea. RNAcentral describes it as "long non-coding RNA (ACOE_LNC001690)". The record is from RNAcentral. Lineage: Eukaryota; Viridiplantae; Streptophyta; Magnoliopsida; Ranunculales; Ranunculaceae.